RNAcentral lists this long non-coding RNA (1383 nucleotides) under Sinocyclocheilus anshuiensis. RNAcentral describes it as "lncRNA (ENSSANG00000046808.1)". Lineage: Eukaryota; Metazoa; Chordata; Actinopteri; Cypriniformes; Cyprinidae. The record is from RNAcentral.
UUGCAAAUUAUAUAAAUGCAUCAUUAUAAAAUGUUUUCUCUUGUCAGGUGUUGUGACAAUGACAGCCCAGGCCUCUCACUUUCAUCCGGACAUCAUCACCUUCCGCUGGUUCUGUGAGGGUGGGGAGCUGAGCCCCGUGUCCUUCCCGCAGGCGCUGGCAGCCCCUCGACCUGAUGCUGAAGGCUUCUUUUCGGCCAUGAGCCAGUGCAGACUGCCCACAGCAGAGCUAGAGAGAGGAGAAACCAGAGUGUGGGUCGCCGUUCACCACACGGCCCUAAAACAGCCCAUCACACGCGAAACUAGAGGGUUCAUGAAAAAGCCCACCGUUUCAGAGAUCAUCUCCUCUGCUCUUGCGUCUGCUGAGGAGGGACCUUUGACCCUCGCCUGCGACAUAACUGGUUUCUACCCUCUUGAAAUCUCUGUCAAAUGGCUGCAUAUAAAAGGGAAUUGGACUGAGGAGGGAGAGGACAGAGAAAGGGAAAUCAAAGAGGGAGCUGAGCUAUGGGGCCCUUUGCAAACUCUGCCCAGGACAUUUAGAGCAAAAGCAUUACUUAAAGAGCUGGAUGAGAUGGCAAGGGGAGGUGAGAUCGUUUGCAGAGUGACACACUGCUCCCUACUGAAGCCCAUUGAGAGAGUCUGGAAAAAUACUCAUAUCGUUGCUCCCUCCAUCCCUUGUUCUCUGACGGUUUGCUGGAGCAGAGAUGGUGUGGGAAUAUUCUCCGUUCUUCUCUCUGGAGGAAAACCCACGGCUGAAGUUCUCUGGGCUGCUGGUGGCACGACCGUCUCCAAGCUUUUGUCAAGAGAGAGAGAGAGAGAAAACAGCGAGGGGAAACCAGAGCUCAAGAGCGUUUGUGUUCUGGUGAGAUCUACAGGACGACAGGAAAGUGACAGUCGCAGAGGAGGACAUGCACGCAGAAUCAGGCCGCCUAGUGUGGACUGUAAUGCCGAAUGUGAAAAGAUGAAUGAAUGUGUGGACAGAAUGAAAUCCGUACUAGAGGACAAACAGCUGAAUGAGCAUAUGGAGGAGAAUGAUGAGGAUGAGGAUGUGGAUCCAUCCUAUAUAAACACUGUGAGAUUGAGGAAAGAGAAGAAAGAGCAUCUGAGAGUUACUGUGGAAAUUACCCAUCCUGCACUGAGAUUCCCUGCGUAUCUUACCUGGACAGAGCCUGCAGAGGAAGCCUCAUCAUGAUGACUCGCAGUUAUUUAGAAAUCUACAUCUUCUCUUGACGCCACCUCCACCUCCACCUAUGAGCUCAUGAAAUUUAUACUGAAGUUUUGCUGUUGUAUUUUUUUUUUCUUAAAAAAUAAAAUGUUUUCUUUUACUACUAAUAUGAUGCAUGAAACACAAUAUUAGGUGUUCACUUCACUCUGAAUGAUCUGCCA